RNAcentral lists this ribosomal RNA (305 nucleotides) under uncultured bacterium. Its description in RNAcentral is "bacterial SSU rRNA". It matches the Rfam family "Bacterial small subunit ribosomal RNA", at positions 338 to 660 of the family's 1533-position model. The record is from RNAcentral.
CCUACGGGGCGCAGCAGUGGGGAAUAUUGCACAAUGGGGGAAACCCUGAUGCAGCGACGCCGCGUGGGUGACGAAGUAUUUCGGUAUGUAGAGCCCUAUCAGCAGGGAAGAAGAUGACAGUACCUGACUAAGAAGCCCCGGCUGACUACGUGCCAGCAGCCGCGGUAAUACGUAGGGGGCAAGCGUUAUCCGGAUUUACUGGGUGUAAAGGGAGCGUAGACGGCAGAGCAAGUCUGAAGUGAAAGCCCGCGGCCCAACUGCGGGACUGCUUUGGAGACUGCCCGGCUAGAGUGCUGGAGAGGUAA